RNAcentral lists this ribosomal RNA (305 nucleotides) under uncultured bacterium. RNAcentral's name for it is "bacterial SSU rRNA". It matches the Rfam family "Bacterial small subunit ribosomal RNA", at positions 337 to 640 of the family's 1533-position model. The record is from RNAcentral.
GCCUACGGGGCGCAGCAGUGAGGAAUAUUGGUCAAUGGCCGAGAGGCUGAACCAGCCAAGUCGCGUGAGGGAAGACGGCCCUACGGGUUGUAAACCUCUUUUGUCGGGGAGCAAGGCGAACCACGUGUGGUUCAUUGAGAGUACCCGAAGAAAAAGCAUCGGCUAACUCCGUGCCAGCAGCCGCGGUAAUACGGAGGAUGCGAGCGUUAUCCGGAUUUAUUGGGUUUAAAGGGUGCGCAGGCGGAGGUGAAAGUCAGCGGUCAAAUUGCGGGGCUCAACCCCGUACUGCCGUUGAAACUGCAUCC